UUAAUACAUGCAAGUCGAACGGGAUUCGGGGUAGCAAUACUUUGAUGAGAGUGGCGCACGGGUGCGUAACGCGUAUGCAACCUACCUUUAACAGGGGAAUAGCCCCGAGAAAUCGGGAUUAAUACUCCGUAACAUUGCGGUGUGGCAUCACACUGCACUUAAAGCUGAGGCGGUUAAAGAUGGGCAUGCGUGACAUUAGCUAGUUGGUGAGGUAACGGCUCACCAAGGCAACGAUGUCUAGGGGUCCUGAGAGGGUUAUCCCCCACACUGGUACUGAGACACGGACCAGACUCCUACGGGAGGCAGCAGUAAGGAAUAUUGGUCAAUGGGCGCAAGCCUGAACCAGCCAUGCCGCGUGCAGGAAGACGGCCCUAUGGGUUGUAAACUGCUUUUGUCAGGGAAUAAACCCCCGCUCGUGAGCGGGGCUGAAGGUACCUGAAGAAUAAGCAUCGGCUAACUCCGUGCCAGCAGCCGCGGUAAUACGGAGGAUGCAAGCGUUAUCCGGAUUCAUUGGGUUUAAAGGGUGCGCAGGCGGAUUGGUAAGUCAGGGGUGAAAUCCCACAGCUCAACUGUGGAACUGCCUUUUGAUACUGUCAGUCUAGAGUAUAGUUGAAGUUGGCGGAAUGUGUCAUGUAUCGGUGAAAUGCUUAGAUAUGACACAGAACACCGAUCGCGAAUGCAGCUAGCUAAGCUAUAACUGACGCUCAUGCACGAAAGCGUGGGAUCAAACAGGAU
RNAcentral lists this ribosomal RNA (735 nucleotides) under uncultured Lentimicrobium sp. Its description in RNAcentral is "bacterial SSU rRNA". It matches the Rfam family "Bacterial small subunit ribosomal RNA", at positions 48 to 778 of the family's 1533-position model. Lineage: Bacteria; Pseudomonadati; Bacteroidota; Bacteroidia; Bacteroidales; Lentimicrobiaceae. The record is from RNAcentral.